This 832-nucleotide long non-coding RNA is filed under the name Elaeis guineensis (African oil palm). Its description in RNAcentral is "long non-coding RNA (EGUI_LNC077506)". Lineage: Eukaryota; Viridiplantae; Streptophyta; Magnoliopsida; Arecales; Arecaceae. The record is from RNAcentral.
AGGGUCUAAACUCUGAUAAACUUCUGAGGGCUAGCUAUGAUUUGAAGUUGGAAUAGCCAGCGCCUUGACCCGUUCAAAAGAGGUUGGCAACAACCAUUUCGAUCGUGGUGAGUGUUUGCCUUCCAUCAGUUGCUGUCAACUUGUACUUUUCUUAGAUUCCUUCAGGAGGUGUUUAUCCGUGCACCCUUAGCUAUCUGAACGAGAUAACCCGCAACGCGUCAAUAUACUCUCUCUUCGUACAAUAUUCCAAGAUGGAAAAGGUAAUGUAAAUCAAACAAUUCGCACGGGUACUUCAAAAAACAUUUGGGAAGCUAUGUAACAGGGAGUGAAAAAUAGUGCAUAAUUAACAUUUUAAUUCACAUCGUGCGCAAACAAAAUAAACAAAUAGUAUACAUCUAUUUGGUUUCCAUGCUCGGCUCUGAUUGGAUGUUGGGAUUAGUUAUCCAUCGAUAACGCAUGCGUUGUGGAAGUAGAGGUGUGAAGGGAGGCGUUUGGUGAUAGCAGACUUGAUCCAUGUUUGCCUUGGAUAUGUCAACAUGGCUGUCAUCUUUAAUAUAUUUCAAAUUUAAAUUUUGAAUUUCAAAUAAUACUAUAAUAGUUUAUAAAAUUACAUGAUACAUUAACAUGAUCAUCAUUUUUGGUACAUUUUAAAUUUGAAUUCAAAUUUCAAACGCCUGGCAUAUCUUGUAAGUGAGGCAGAUAUGAAUCAAAUCGGCUAUCAUUAAAGAAUAAAUAGCACAAGAAAGAAUAUAAUCAGACUGAUUUAAGAAAAUCAUCAAACUUGAUGUAAAUCACUAAUUUGAUCAUUACAAGUUAGACUAAAUAGGGGCUA